Molecule: long non-coding RNA, 941 nt
Organism: Gavialis gangeticus (Gharial)
Lineage: Eukaryota; Metazoa; Chordata; Crocodylia; Gavialidae
Exons: 3
Source: RefSeq, a predicted model, not a curated record
CAGGAUUUUGCUUGCUGGAGCAGCUGCCGGCAGCCCUCGCGGCGCGGCGGUUGGUGGAGACUGUGCGCCUGCCUCUGUGUGUGUGCGCGUGUGUGUGAGUGUGCGCAAGUGGGCGUGCGUGCGUGUACAUACACCUAUAUAAAUUAUAGCAUUUAAAGGGUAGCGCCAUGACCUUGCUAACAUCGCUGACUCCCCAGCUUGGCCAUUUCGCCACCCGGCAGAGCCCACGCUUCACCGGCUCCCUGAGAAGAGCCCAGCCUCGCCUCCCCGUGCCGACCUCCCGUCUCGUUCUGUCCGGUCGGACCCGACCCGCAGUCAGCUUGGCACUCGUGUGCUUUCAUGCCAGUAGUGAGGAGCGGGUGCGCCCCCCGCCACCCCAACCACGUGCUGCUGCUGCCCUGUCUGCCAGCACUCUGUUGCUCGGUACCAAGGCACCGCUCUUCUGUGCUGCUGGUUUUUCCGCCUUCCCGCUGGGUGUUCAUAACCUCCAGACUCGCCCCCUGCUUCUGGCACUGGGUUAGAAGAAGAGAGCUCGGGAUGGUCGCAGCAGAGCUCAGUGUCGGGGCCAAGGAUGGGAAGAAGCAGGUUCGGCCCCUGCUGCACGCUUUGGCUUUGGACAGACGCAGGGAAGCUGGAGAAAGGGCCUGGACGUGCACCAAGCCCUCCUGUGCCCUGCCUUCAUCGCCAGUGACCAGAAGAUGCUCGUGGCACUUUGCUGUGUUUUUCCAGGACUUUCGCUAGCCCUGAGGGGGUCUGGAUCCCAGCCCUUGGCUCCACAGCGGGACCUGUGGGUGGAGGCGUAGGAGCGAGUGGUGUGCAAUGGCGACUGGCCGAGGGAAAGCGUUGCAGCCCGUCGAGAGGGGCCGUGUGGCGGGGCGGCUGCUGGUGGCCCAUAGACCAAACCCUGAGGGGCUGUUGUCUUGCCUGGGCCAAUGGGGACA